CUUUGUCUGAAAAUAAAAUAUGAUCCUCAACUGCGUUUCCCAUCCAGUCAGCAGACGGCGAUGUGAGUCUUUCAGGCGACGCUUCCAGCGUGACGUAUAAUCUAGUGGACGGUUCUUCAGAAACAGCUCGUCAACCAUCUUGGUCUGCUGGACGGAGAAAGUGUCUGUGGCAGAACAUUGUUGUGAAAGAGGAGGAGUAUGUUACAGUAAAACAAGUAGAGGGUGAGGCUGUUACAGUGAAAGAAGAGAAAUACGUUUCAGUGAAAGAAGAGGAAAACGCUUUCAGAGUUAAAGAGGAGGAUGUUACAAUAAAAGGAGAGGAGGAUGCAGUUUUUGGUGUGAAAGAGGAGGAGGGGGAGAUCACUGUCACAUUGGAGGAAGAAGAGGAGGUUGGAGAUCUGUUUAACACCAAUCUUCUCAGAAAUGAAUCAAGUCCAUGGAAUGGAUAUAGACAAAAAGAUAAUUCAAGGACUAUCAGAGGUAGAGAGGCGAGGCAGGGGUGAGGACAUCAUCCUGCUAUUUUGACAGUCCCUGAAGGACAACACAGAAGAGGACUGGAGACCACAGCAGCGAUUCUGCUCUUGCCCAACCUCUUCAAUGAGGACCCGAGUGGACUUUAUGUCCGUGAAAAGAUUUCACCGCUCUUCACUCCUUUACUGCACAUCGGCGGAAAUCUAUUUCACCAUAAGAGUGAAAUCCCGCUGGCCUUUGAUGGGGAGAACAUCCACGCCCUCGAGGACGUCCCCAUGGACUUGGGGCUCUGCUACGGCUGUAUUUUUUUUUUUCCCUUAAAUUUCCCCAAAAUGUCAGAAAAACACUUAUGUUGUUAAGUUACUGUGUUCUGGGGAGAAGAGAAGUUGGGGUGAAGUUACCAGGGCCGGUCAUGAAGACAAACUUCCUAACACAACUAAGUGAGUAUGAUAUACACACUAAAGCUGAAAAAAUCUGUAUUUAGCAUCAAGUCUACAAUAUUGUUAGUUUACCUAUGAUUCAUUUUUAAUGUAUGUUUUAUUGUACGUCAUUAUUAUUAUUUUUUUUAAAUGUCAUGGAAAUCACUAUACAAAGUAAAUGUAUUAUUUAAUAUGGUCUGACAUGUCUGCAGAAAUGUUGGUAAGUUGUUUUGUAAAUAUUAAUUCACAUUUGUGGUGCCACUAAAUAAACAAUUAAUUUUUAAGUCA
Molecule: non-coding RNA, 1178 nt
Organism: Oncorhynchus mykiss (rainbow trout)
Lineage: Eukaryota; Metazoa; Chordata; Actinopteri; Salmoniformes; Salmonidae
Source: RefSeq, a predicted model, not a curated record